This 305-nucleotide ribosomal RNA is filed under the name uncultured bacterium. RNAcentral describes it as "bacterial SSU rRNA". It matches the Rfam family "Bacterial small subunit ribosomal RNA", at positions 338 to 661 of the family's 1533-position model. The record is from RNAcentral.
CCUACGGGACGCAGCAGUGGGGAAUAUUGCACAAUGGGGGGAACCCUGACGCAGCAAUGCCGCGUGGGUGAAGAAGCACUCCGGUGCGUAAAGCCCUGUCAGCAGGGAAGAAAAUGACAGUACCUGGACAAGAAGCCCCGGCUAACUACGUGCCAGCAGCCGCGGUAAUACGGAGGAUGCGAGCGUUAUCCGGAUUUAUUGGGUUUAAAGGGUGCGCAGGCGGUCUGUUAAGUCAGCGGUCAAAGCCCGGGGCUCAACCCCGGCCCGCCGUUGAAACUGGCAGUCUCGAGUUGGAGAGAAGUAUG